Molecule: transfer RNA, 84 nt
Filed under: Brettanomyces nanus
Lineage: Eukaryota; Fungi; Ascomycota; Pichiomycetes; Pichiales; Pichiaceae
Rfam family: tRNA
About the family: Transfer RNA (tRNA) molecules are approximately 80 nucleotides in length.
Source: Rfam by way of RNAcentral
CUCACCUUAGCUCAGUUGGAAGAGCAUAAGACUGUAAUUGAUAUCGAAAUCUUGGGGUCCCCGGUUCGAUCCCGGGAGGUGAGA